ACGAAGGGGGCUAGCGUUGCUCGGAAUUACUGGGCGUAAAGGGAGCGUAGGCGGAUAGUUUAGUCAGAGGUGAAAGCCCAGGGCUCAACCUUGGAAUUGCCUUUGAUACUGGCUAUCUUGAGUAUGGAAGAGGUAUGUGGAACUCCGAGUGUAGAGGUGAAAUUCGUAGAUAUUCGGAAGAACACCAGUGGCGAAGGCGACAUACUGGUCCAUUACUGACGCUGAGGCUCGAAAGCGUGGGGAGCAAACAGGA
Molecule: ribosomal RNA, 253 nt
Filed under: uncultured prokaryote
Description: partial 16S ribosomal RNA
Rfam family: Bacterial small subunit ribosomal RNA
Source: RNAcentral